This is a long non-coding RNA of Gallus gallus (chicken), 650 nucleotides long. RefSeq lists it as uncharacterized. The transcript has 3 exons. The record is from RefSeq and is a predicted model, not a curated record. Lineage: Eukaryota; Metazoa; Chordata; Aves; Galliformes; Phasianidae.
CAGUCUUCAGCUGCAACUGGAAUAGGAAAACCAGCUCUUGGUUCACUCCAGCAAAAUGCAUCUUCCAGGUGAAGGGCAGCUGGGAUGACCAUUAGCUGCAGAAAAAAGGCCCCAGGGAUUCCCUGGAUGCAUAAGGAACUUAAGCUGAAGUGUCAUUAUAUUUAAGAAAAAGAGUUAUCUGGUGUUUAAAAUGAACUCAAGUGCUUGUGAAAACCACAGAGCCUCGUCAGGAGCAAGCACACUGGAGGUGCAAACCUGCCCUAUGGAGGCCCUGCAACGCAAUGCACAUUCAGUGGCCCUGAUGGACAGGAAUGUCUUUGCAAACAUCAGUCUAAGAAGCGAUACCAGCAAGUGCCAAGAAAAAGAGGAGCCAUUCUCAAGCCAGGCACGAUCUUGUGUUAUUUUGCAAAGGACACAGAAAAAAUGCAGAAAAAAUGCGAACAUUCAAAACUGCAGGAAUAAACUCCUUGUUGUCACAGCUCACAUUUGGAGAGGGAGGCAAAGAUCCAGAUUCCACCAUGCCAGCACGGCCACAGUGCUGGACGCUUAUCAAAGUGGUUGCCUUCGGGGCUCUCAGGAGAUCAGGCUUCUCUCCAGGUCUUCGGAUGAAGCACCAAGGCCAUGAGAACAGCCAUGCUUCAGCAUCAACC